Molecule: long non-coding RNA, 701 nt
Organism: Salvia miltiorrhiza (redroot sage)
Lineage: Eukaryota; Viridiplantae; Streptophyta; Magnoliopsida; Lamiales; Lamiaceae
Exons: 2
Source: RefSeq, a predicted model, not a curated record
AGUGACAAAGUGAAUUGCAGUCCAAUAUCCACAAGGUGGAUUUCAAACUUUUCAAGAUUCUUCAACGUUAACCAGCUCGUACUCGACAAGGGAGAGAUUGUUUUCCUCUUUGACCCAAUAGUGACAAAGUGAAUUGCAGUCCAAUAUCCACAAGGUGGAAUUCAAACUUUUCAAGAUUCUUCAACGUUAACCAGCUCGUACUCGACAAGGGAGAGAUUGUUUUCCUCUUUGACCCAAUAGUGACAAAGUGAAUUGCAGUCCAAUAUAUAUUCGAUUUGUUGAUCCAUAUUUGGUAUCAUGCGAUCCAUGUUGCUAUCGUAGUAAUCAACCUGACUGAUGCACGCUUGUAUCAGGCUAUUCAUGUGAAUAAGAUCCACCCAGCAUGUUUUCAUGGCUAGUUGAAUGAAAAUUUUAGGAAGCUUCAUGGCCUUCAUCUCCGAGCAAGUUCAAAGUAAAGCAGGCAGUGUUGCUCUCAGCAACUGAAGCUGCGGAGAUGAUUCUACGAGUCGAUGAAAUCAUCACCUGUGCCCCACGGAGGAGAGAAGACCAUAUGUGAAGAGGCAUGAUUCAUGGUUGCUACUCAAUCUAUAAAGAGAAUAGGCUGGCAAGGUUAAGCUAAAUCCAAAACAUAAUAUCAGAAUGUCAUCACGUAUUUCUGUAUCAGUUUUAUAUGGAAUUAAAUCGAAAUACUUUUUAGAUUA